This 1001-nucleotide ribosomal RNA is filed under the name Bacillus subtilis. RNAcentral's name for it is "bacterial SSU rRNA". It matches the Rfam family "Bacterial small subunit ribosomal RNA", at positions 38 to 1020 of the family's 1533-position model. The record is from RNAcentral. Lineage: Bacteria; Bacillati; Bacillota; Bacilli; Caryophanales; Bacillaceae.
GGCGGCGUGCCUAAUACAUGCAAGUCGAGCGGACAGAUGGGAGCUUGCUCCCUGAUGUUAGCGGCGGACGGGUGAGUAACACGUGGGUAACCUGCCUGUAAGACUGGGAUAACUCCGGGAAACCGGGGCUAAUACCGGAUGGUUGUUUGAACCGCAUGGUUCAGACAUAAAAGGUGGCUUCGGCUACCACUUACAGAUGGACCCGCGGCGCAUUAGCUAGUUGGUGAGGUAACGGCUCACCAAGGCGACGAUGCGUAGCCGACCUGAGAGGGUGAUCGGCCACACUGGGACUGAGACACGGCCCAGACUCCUACGGGAGGCAGCAGUAGGGAAUCUUCCGCAAUGGACGAAAGUCUGACGGAGCAACGCCGCGUGAGUGAUGAAGGUUUUCGGAUCGUAAAGCUCUGUUGUUAGGGAAGAACAAGUGCCGUUCAAAUAGGGCGGCACCUUGACGGUACCUAACCAGAAAGCCACGGCUAACUACGUGCCAGCAGCCGCGGUAAUACGUAGGUGGCAAGCGUUGUCCGGAAUUAUUGGGCGUAAAGGGCUCGCAGGCGGUUUCUUAAGUCUGAUGUGAAAGCCCCCGGCUCAACCGGGGAGGGUCAUUGGAAACUGGGGAACUUGAGUGCAGAAGAGGAGAGUGGAAUUCCACGUGUAGCGGUGAAAUGCGUAGAGAUGUGGAGGAACACCAGUGGCGAAGGCGACUCUCUGGUCUGUAACUGACGCUGAGGAGCGAAAGCGUGGGGAGCGAACAGGAUUAGAUACCCUGGUAGUCCACGCCGUAAACGAUGAGUGCUAAGUGUUAGGGGGUUUCCGCCCCUUAGUGCUGCAGCUAACGCAUUAAGCACUCCGCCUGGGGAGUACGGUCGCAAGACUGAAACUCAAAGGAAUUGAGGGGGGCCCGCACAAGCGGUGGAGCAUGUGGUUUAAUUCGAAGCAACGCGAAGAACCUUACCAGGUCUUGACAUCCUCUGACAAUCCUAGAGAUAGGACGUCCCCUU